This is a long non-coding RNA of Hyaena hyaena (striped hyena), 839 nucleotides long. RefSeq lists it as uncharacterized. The transcript is spliced from 3 exons. Lineage: Eukaryota; Metazoa; Chordata; Mammalia; Carnivora; Hyaenidae. The record is from RefSeq and is a predicted model, not a curated record.
GUAAAGGAAACAGAGUCUCUGAAGGUGACGUGGCUGGCCUAGUUAUACAGUUAUGGGAGUCAGGCAGAAUUUGAAUCCACAUCUUCUUGACUCUAGAGGCCAGGAUCCGAACAACUGUGUUACAGUUGCCCCUUUGUGGGGCCUCUGCUCUGGACCCCAGCUGCCUGCCUGACUCAGCAACUGUGGGUGGCCUUCCUCCUGUGCGUGGGCAGCAGAGUUGUUGGGAAACUGACCUUCUGAAGAGAGGGGAAGUCCAAAGGAUGCCCAGUGGAGAUGGGUGGCACUGAGACUUGAACUCUGAUCUGUUGGACUCUAGAGGCAGCACUGCACAACUCCUAAUGGAUGGACAGACCAUGGUGAAGCUGAACCUUCUGCCAAAGAAAACUCAUUGAUGCCCGCAAACCAGCCAGCCAGGGAGAAGGCUGCCCUGGAAUGUUGGAGGGGGGUCACCAAGCUGUUUGCGGGCAGGCCAGCAGAGAAAUGUGAGCAGCUACCUUUUUUGGGUAAAGUCUGAAUUCCCUCUGUGAGAAAGGAUCCAGGGAAGGUUACCUUAGAGGCUUGGGCCUCAGUUUCCCCGUGAUCACCACCAUGGUAUUUAUAAGGUAUGAGUAACUUCAGUUAUUGAUUUUCAACAGCUAUUGGUUGGGUGACUGCUGUGUGCCCGGCAUUGAGCUGGGCUGGCCGCUUGGGACACAGCUGACAGAGCUGACGCCUGUGCUUGGGGAGGACUUUUCAGCAGAAAGCAGUGUCUCAGUAAUUCUUCCAGUGAACAAAAGGCAGGUGCCCCAGGCCCACAACCCUGAUCAACACUCUUGGGACUGGUCAAGUUACAGAUCUCA